UUCAUUUCAUAUUAGAGUAACAUUUUACUCUCUCGUUACCUUAUCUCAAACACAACCUCUUUCUUUCCAUAAAUAUCAUCCAUUGUCACCACCCUAUCCCAUCCAUCACCACCCUAUUCCAUCCUCACCAUUAUCUACACCUAACCCACAAACUAUUUUUCUCGUUAGUUAAAGAACCUUAUUGACAGUUUUAACCUACAUUGAUACAUUAGUGGGAAAGACCACAAUCAAUUUUUUUUCUUUAAAACUUGACACCCGAACUUAAAAGUUUGUUUGUUUGGAGUUAAACAUCUAUAUUCAUAUAUAAAUUAAUGCCUCAAAAGGUUUGUAUGGGAGAGCCCCCUCCGUUGAUCUUCACUUUUUCUUUGUUAGAAUGGGUGGUCUCGGAAUUUCUUUGUUAGAAUGGGUGGUCUCGGAAUUGGUAAAUCUUGUGCAUUUUUCUUUACUUACUUGAUAUUCAAUUUUAUGUACACUUUUAAAUAAAUGCAUAUAGUAAGCUUUACUGAAAAUUGAAAUUCAUAUCUUUCCACUUAAAAGCCCCGUCGAAAUCCACUAUCAAUGUCCCGUCUUUGCUAACCGCUCAAAUUCACUGUAAUCCGGCAACACCUAAGUCAUUUAAGAUAUCCCUCGCGCGCUAAAAAAAGAAAACAACAAUCCAGGAGUAACAGUUGCAGUCAUUGAAUCAUCAUUAGUAAUCCAGUCGUGUCCAACACAAACUUAGAGGAAUACUCCUAAAGGUAAGGUGUUGAUCGGUGUUAAAUCAAGAGUCGUGGAAGAGGUCAAAGUGGAGGUGAAAAAGGUGCUUCCGUUCAACGAGAUUAGAUCUGGAUCUAGAUCUUGAGCCUGUUCCCAAUCUUAGGGAAACCGAAGAGAUGAUGAACAUGCGCGCAGAUAAUUUUCUACCAUUUAGGUAGAAAAACUGGAAGCAGCUUCUCUACCAUACACCGUCGGGGACUUAAAACCGGCGAAAUUUUCUACCAUUUAGGUAGAAAAACUGGAAGCAGCUUCUCUACCAUACACCGUCGGGGACUUAAAACCCGCGAAAGGCGGCAAUAGUUCUUUAGAUGUAGUCUCUCUUUUUUGAACUUGUUAUGCGUUGAUAGUGACACGAGCUAUCUUAUUGGAAAAAGGUUAUUUACAUUGGAUGAAGGUAUAUACAUGUGCUAGUGAAUCUGUAGUGUUUGAGUUAAAACGUACUUUGUUGCUUUUAAGACAAACUGGUAAUUUUCAUUUCUAUCUUGGAUGUCUCUCUGCAUUUGAUAGUUUACAUUUGUAUUAACGUUAAAAUUUGAGAAAUUUGAGAUCUCAUUCCCUAGCAUGAAACAGCAAUUGGAGAAUCAAACCUCUCUGACUCGGAAUCGUCAUUUGACAAUGCAAAGAAGAGUUUCUCGAAGUUAUCAUCAACAUUUGAGUUCUGCUUGCAAAUUAGGCAUUUGGUUGGCAGUAAAGGUGAAGGAGAUUAUGAAAGAACAAGACCAUCCGGUGGUUCAAAAGUUCAUGAUGAAUACAUGCUCUGGAAGUUGAACAUAUGCCGGAAGCACUAGAUGUCCCUUGGAUUCUUGCCAGAAAUGGAGAGUCAAUAUCAUUGUUUCAACGUUGGACUAUCGAACGAACUUCAAAUGACGGCGUUGAGGGUACUUCUUGAUCAGUCUAUCCCAAAGAUGCAGACAUCUAUAGAAGUACUUUUGUUGACAAAGGACAUGAUGGGUUUUGACCGUCUUUUCUUGCCUUCAAUGGGAUUGAAUAAAGCACCAUUAAAAUCAAAUUGGAAUUUUGUUUGUUGUGUUGAGUUCUACUUGAAGAAAAACAUAAACAUUUUCACGAGCAACAAUCAUUGCCAAGUACACACCAUGAAUGUAUUAAUUUGCAGUGCUUGGUGGAAGAUUGUUGGUAUACAUCCCUCAUAUUGGGCUUUUGUAUUGUAGAUCAAGGGGUGUAUACCAAUGAAUUUUCACAAGGAUCGCCAAAGUAAUACAUUUAUGGUGUGUACUUAGCGAUGAUUGCUCGUUAAAGAGCAAUUAUGUUUUCUUUAGGCGGAAGCUGAACAAAUUGAAUUCCGAUUGAAGUUUCAUCGUGUUUUAUUCAAUCCCAUUGCAGGCAGCAUAAGAUAGUAAAAUUCCAUCAUCACCUUUUUCGACCUAAUUACUUAUAAAUGCAUAUAUAUAUAAAAACUUUGUGAUAGAGUGAUCAAGUUUCACACUCUACACCGUCAUAUGAUAUAUUGAUAUUGGUUCGAUAAGGAAAGAGCUCAAGAUAAGAGAAUGGCUCAAGAUAUGAAAAUGGCCCAAGAUAUAAGAGAAAUAAUGAUAAUAUUGUAUCUUUCACUAUUGAAGUAGAAACGCAAGGAACUGUGUUCAAAGAGGCAUGCAUGGCCAAGAUAAGAAAAUGGCUGAGAAACUUGCAUGCACUGCUGUUCUAGAGCUCAUCAGAGAUGCAUGAAGACAGUCAAAUAACCGAUGCUUUUACUUGCCGAUGAUCCCCUAUAUAUAUAGCUGAUGACUCCAAUGUUCAAGGAACCGUAUUGAUUCGAUUUAGAAAUGUGUUAUCUUAACCCUUUCUUUUGGGGCUGCAUUUCUGUGUAAAUGUACAAGACUUGAUGUUCGAUGCCCUUAAAUAUACAUCCCUUUGUUGUAUAUAUGUUUUUGAAUGAAAAAAUUCUUCUUUUUGGCCCA
RNA transcript from Erigeron canadensis, 2672 nucleotides. RefSeq lists it as uncharacterized. The record is from RefSeq and is a predicted model, not a curated record. The transcript is spliced from 3 exons. Lineage: Eukaryota; Viridiplantae; Streptophyta; Magnoliopsida; Asterales; Asteraceae.